Molecule: long non-coding RNA, 1009 nt
Organism: Oncorhynchus gorbuscha (pink salmon)
Lineage: Eukaryota; Metazoa; Chordata; Actinopteri; Salmoniformes; Salmonidae
Exons: 5
Source: RefSeq, a predicted model, not a curated record
UUUAGCUACGAUCGCCUGUUCUCGCCGUUUUCAGUUGAAUUAAUCUAACUUUCUUUCAUGACAACUCAUAAGCAAGCUAUGUCAUAUGUUUCAUAGUCGAUAUAUAAUCAUAUUUCAUGACAGUGUAACGGUUAGAUGUUUUUUACAGAGGGAUGAAAGAACACAAUAUGUCUGUCGGGGAAUGCUAUUCUGAUAGGUCAGAUGAAGAGUUAGACCAGAAAGCCAGGACCAUUAAGGCAAAGAUGUCCCAUGAGGGCAUUAGAAUGGUCAAAGGAAGUCUCAGAGCAGUGGGCCAUCGUGUACAAUGGAGAAGAGGCUUUGCAGCGUGUAGAUGGCGCAGAGAGAGAGCUGAUCAAGGGGUCGAAAAUGUAGAUAUUUACAGAUGUUCACUGUCCGAGGAACAGGCCGUGGAAGCUUUACUGUGGCAAAAGUGUCCAUAACCAGAGAUCUGCAGCAUUUCACAGAGAGUUGGAGUAAUCCCCCUUUAAGUACAGAGGCAAACCUGACGCCUCACCAGCUGUUGCCUUGGCACUACACAACGGAUUCAAAUGAUCAAGUCAUCAUCAAGCUUCAAAUGGUUAUAUCAGCUGUAUUGAUGAACACCUCCCGCAUCUGAACAGGCUGACACAGAGGGCACAGCAUUAUCAUAGGUAUAAUUUGAGAUGAGAGAGAAAGCCAGUCCGGUCAUCGACCACCUCACCCGCUCUUAAGAUAACCUUCGGGCUGACUGGGAGCCCAGUCAGUUAGGUUAGGAGACACUGCUAGAGACUCUAUGUAAUUGUGAUGAACUGAGAGAAUAUUAGGGUAGCCCUGUAAUUCAUUAAUCAUAUGCUGUCUGCCUCUGUUCUUAGCUCUCUCCCCACCUCGUCUUUCUUACUCGUUUUAUAAUGAACAUCAUAUGUGCAUUGAAGUACAGAAUGAACUUGUAUUUAUAAUAUAAUAUUACAAUGACCAUAAUUAUAAUGAAUUUAUGUAUUUAGAACACCUGGAUAAUGAACAUUCAAUAAAG